RNAcentral lists this ribosomal RNA (253 nucleotides) under uncultured bacterium. Its description in RNAcentral is "partial 16S ribosomal RNA". It matches the Rfam family "Bacterial small subunit ribosomal RNA", at positions 524 to 776 of the family's 1533-position model. The record is from RNAcentral.
GACAGAGGGGGCAAGCGUUGCUCGGAAUCACUGGGCGUAAAGGGCGCGUAGGCGGGGUGGCAAGUCAGUCGUGAAAUCUCUCGGCUCAACCGAGAAACGUCGGCUGAUACUGCCGUUCUUGAGGGAUGCAGAGGAGACUGGAAUUCCCGGUGUAGCGGUGAAAUGUGUAGAGAUCGGGAGGAACACCGGUGGCGAAGGCGGGUCUCUGGACCGAUACUGACGCUGAGGCGCGAAAGCGUGGGGAGCAAACAGG